This 229-nucleotide ribosomal RNA is filed under the name uncultured bacterium. Its description in RNAcentral is "partial 16S ribosomal RNA". It matches the Rfam family "Bacterial small subunit ribosomal RNA", at positions 568 to 796 of the family's 1533-position model. The record is from RNAcentral.
UACGUAGGCGGAAAAUUAAGUCAGUGGUGAAAACCUGCAGCUUAACUGUAGAACUGCCAUUGAUACUGUUAGUCUUGAGUACGGUCAAGGUAGGCGGAAUGUGUAAUGUAGCGGUGAAAUGCUUAGAUAUUACACAGAACACCGAUUGCGAAGGCAGCUUACUGGACCAUUACUGACGCUGAGGCACGAAAGCGUGGGGAGCGAACAGGAUUAGAUACCCUGGUAGUCC